Long non-coding RNA from Caretta caretta (loggerhead turtle), 1415 nucleotides. RefSeq lists it as uncharacterized. Lineage: Eukaryota; Metazoa; Chordata; Testudines; Cheloniidae. The record is from RefSeq and is a predicted model, not a curated record.
UACUCCAGACACACCUGGUGGGGGCGGGGCCGGCCGACGAGCGCACGCACCGCGCGAUGAAGCGGCUGUAUAGCUCCUCCGCCGGGCCGAAUCGCUGCUCCCGGAAGUGCGCAUGCGCGGCCGACAGCAGGUACUGCUGAUCACUAAUUUGGCUCCUGAACCACUGAGGUCUGAGUAUCACUGGCCUACAGAUUACCCCAGAAGACUCACAGUCUAAUUUGAGACAAGGCACAACACUGAAGCCUCAAGCCCCAGCAGGGCAGCUGGCCGACCCCACAAGCUCUGGGGUCUGAGGCAGCCACACAGCGGAAGUCCGGGAUGGAUGCCAGCAGAGGUGGUAGGCUCUGAGGGGGGAAGAAGAAAGAGUAGAGAAUGGGUUACCUCAACACUGCAGCUAGCAAGCUCAGUCCGACGAUAAGACACUGGCCCCAGUCCAAGGUCACGGCGCUAGAGGAAAAGUCUGAAGCUGCCUUUCUCUCUCACCCAGCCACAGCCAGCCAUGAAAAAAGAAAAAGUACACUGAACCAGGGCUGCAGAAAUGGAAAACACCAGCGAGAUGACGAGGCGGGGGAGCAGAGAUUUGUGUCCCUCGAGCCGUUGUGUUUUGGGAAUGCGGAGAAGACCACAGAAACCCAGUUUGUACUGGCACAAAGAGCACCAGGAACAGAGGUCGCGGAAUGGAACACCCCCAAAGGAGCCCAGGACUUAAAAUCCUCCUGAGAGCUGGAGCAAUUCGGAGAUUGGCAGCGGAUCCUGGAUGAUCUGUGCACACAGGACAGAACUCCCUCCCACCCCUCCCACCCUCUUCUUCUUACGUUACACCCAGGCUUGGCCAGCCUUGGGUAGUGCAUGAGUGAGUAUGAAAGUGGGUUAUGGCUUGGAACACUAAUGCUUUCUUCCUUCCUCUGAGUGACGUGGGGAACCCCUCCUCCCCCAGCACUCUCCGCUAUUAUUUUAUUAUUUUAUCAAUAAAGCUUUAAAACUCAGUUACGUAGUGUGCUCACUCAUCUCCUUCCUAAAGAUCCUACGGCCUCAGCCUGAUCACCUGACACCCCAGGCAGAUUAGUAACAGAAAUCUGUCACAAGACUAGUGUGAGAAUGAGAGGCAGUGGCCUCCAAAUCACCUCUUUCCCCCUCCAUCUCUACUCUGGCAGCUACAAUGCUCGAAAGACAAAGAAAGCAUCAUUGAACGGGGGUGGUUCCUGGCUGGAAGACUUUUCAGCCAGUACAGAUUGCUGUAAACAAAUGGUGAGACAAAACCUUUUUGCUUUUAAGUUCACUUAGCUUGUUAAGUUAGGCAUUAGCUUGCAUUUUACUCCUUUUGUAACCAGUCCUAACUUUUAUGCAUCAUUACUUGUAAUCACUUAAAAUCUAUCUUUCUGUAGUUAAUAAACGUAUCGUAUUGUUUUAUCUUA